Molecule: long non-coding RNA, 271 nt
Filed under: Capsicum annuum
Lineage: Eukaryota; Viridiplantae; Streptophyta; Magnoliopsida; Solanales; Solanaceae
Description: long non-coding RNA (CANN_LNC001956)
Source: RNAcentral
AGAAUUUUAAGAUUUUUCGCCACUGCUAUGCUUGCCAAAAAAGUGUAUGUAAUUGUGUUCUUAUUUUCCUUUUAUACUGGGUUAGAAUCUUCCUAGGUGGAAAGGAUGAGGCACCGCCCUGUCUGUAGCACCGCUAUAAAAAAGGCAUCGCGGGCAUAUCGCCCUACACCACUGGAAUUUUCUUGUGGAAAUUUGUCUUAGUCCUGGUGGCCCCGUUCUAAAUGAGGCACUGCCGCUUCUUUAGCGCCGCUCCAACUAAGGUUCCGCCCUG